UACGAAGGGGGCUAGCGUUGUUCGGAAUUACUGGGCGUAAAGCGCGUGUAGGCGGGUCUUUAAGUCAGGGGGGAAAUGCCGGGGCUCAACCUUGGAACUGCCUUUGAUACUGGGGACCUUGAGCCCGGGAGAGGUGAGUGGAAUUGCGAGUGUAGAGGUGAAAUUCGUAGAUAUUCGCAAGAACACCAGUGGCGAAGGCGGCUCACUGGCCCGGAACUGACGCUGAGACGCGAAAGCGUGGGGAGCAAACAGG
This 253-nucleotide ribosomal RNA is filed under the name uncultured bacterium. Its description in RNAcentral is "partial 16S ribosomal RNA". It matches the Rfam family "Bacterial small subunit ribosomal RNA", at positions 524 to 776 of the family's 1533-position model. The record is from RNAcentral.